RNAcentral lists this transfer RNA (67 nucleotides) under Angaria neglecta. RNAcentral describes it as "tRNA-Ser". Lineage: Eukaryota; Metazoa; Mollusca; Gastropoda; Trochida; Turbinidae. The record is from RNAcentral.
AGCUAUUUAUCUGGGAUAAACUUUGUCUUGAAAACAAAGUUGAAGUGUUCAAUUCACUUAAUGGCUU